RNAcentral lists this small RNA (559 nucleotides) under Pongo abelii (Sumatran orangutan). Its description in RNAcentral is "retained intron". Lineage: Eukaryota; Metazoa; Chordata; Mammalia; Primates; Hominidae. The record is from RNAcentral.
GGGCGGCUGAGGCUGAGCGCUGGUCCGGAGCAGGUGCCGGGUGCGGGCCGCGGUGUGCGGGACGGGAGCCUGGCGCGAGCGGCGGCGGGAGGGGAAAGCGCAUUUGUAACGCGGGCGACGAUGUGCCCGAAAUCCCCGGACGGUGGGUCUGCAUCGAGACGCCGAGCUCUGGAGCUGGAAAAACCCGGAUGCCAUACUGCUGUUAACACAUGUGACACUGGAGACUUUGUCCCUACCUCAUAGAAUCCCAGCAUGAUGAUACGUGAAGGGUUUUCCGUGGUUAUCUACUUCUGAUUCUUUUGAAAGCUUUAAAGACAUUGGGCAUGAAAGCUUCAGUGAGUUUCCGGGGAUCCCUCGUUUGUGGCAGAGCCAGGAGGAAAACAGUUCCGUUCAUUCUUUCACAGCUGAGGCUUUACAGUUCUCUAUACUCUCCCAAGAUCCACAGAAAAUGAACACAUUUCAGGCAUCGGUGUCAUUCCAGGACGUGACUGUGGAAUUCAGCCAGGAGGAGUGGCAGCACAUGGGCCCUGUUGAGAGGACCCUGUACAGAGAUGUGAUG